UGAGGAAUAUUGGUCAAUGGGCGCAAGCCUGAACCAGCCAUCCCGCGUGCAGGAAGACGGCCCUAUUGGUUGUAAACUGCUUUUCCAGGGAGAGAAACCUGCGCACGUGUUGCGCAAUUGACGGUACCCUGGGAAUAAGCAUCGGCUAACUCCGUGCCAGCAGCCGCUGUUAUACUGAGUAUGCACGCGUUAUCCGUUUUCAUUGGGUUUAAAGGGUGCGUAGGCGGACUAUUAAGUCAGUGGUGAAAGCCUUCAGCUUAACUGCAGAACUGCAAUUGAUAAUGAUAGUCUUGAGUUUGGUUAAGGUAGGCGGAAUGUGUAAUGUAGCGG
This 330-nucleotide ribosomal RNA is filed under the name uncultured bacterium. Its description in RNAcentral is "bacterial SSU rRNA". It matches the Rfam family "Bacterial small subunit ribosomal RNA", at positions 355 to 681 of the family's 1533-position model. The record is from RNAcentral.